AUUGUGAAGAGGCUUUAAGAAGGUACUCUCUCCUAUACGAGGAAGAACCCUUCUUUCUUCAACAUAAUGCUGCCAAUGUGCACAAUUAAAUGUGUUGUUGGUCAUGGCUUAGUUAAUACUUUUGGGGAUUAAUAAUUCAAUUUUUUUUUAUAGCAGCAUAGUAUGACAUUGCCUUAUCAACUACAGAAUGUAUUUUUGAUGUCUGAAGUGGUACCUACUCUAAUUUCAAGGACUAAAUUGAA
This 242-nucleotide unclassified non-coding RNA is filed under the name Hevea brasiliensis (rubber tree). Lineage: Eukaryota; Viridiplantae; Streptophyta; Magnoliopsida; Malpighiales; Euphorbiaceae. The record is from RNAcentral.